CCCCAUAGUCUGGGAUACCACUUGGAAACAGGUGCUAAUACCGGAUAAGAAAGCGGAUCGCAUGAUCAGCUUUUAAAAGGCGGCGUAAGCUGUCGCUAUGGGAUGGCCCCGCGGUGCAUUAGCUAGUUGGUAAGGUAAAGGCUUACCAAGGCGAUGAUGCAUAGCCGAGUUGAGAGACUGAUCGGCCACAUUGGGACUGAGACACGGCCCAAACUCCUACGGGAGGCAGCAGAC
This 234-nucleotide ribosomal RNA is filed under the name uncultured Lactobacillus sp. Its description in RNAcentral is "partial 16S ribosomal RNA". It matches the Rfam family "Bacterial small subunit ribosomal RNA", at positions 129 to 354 of the family's 1533-position model. The record is from RNAcentral. Lineage: Bacteria; Bacillati; Bacillota; Bacilli; Lactobacillales; Lactobacillaceae.